UGAGCAUCGGUGAUGAGUACUCAAAUUCGUUAUCCUUGCACUUUGAUUGUCAGUGAAGAAACUCAUGGGGAAAUUUGUUCUCUGAGAUGCUC
Molecule: small nucleolar RNA, 92 nt
Filed under: Punica granatum (pomegranate)
Lineage: Eukaryota; Viridiplantae; Streptophyta; Magnoliopsida; Myrtales; Lythraceae
Description: Small nucleolar RNA snoR26
Rfam family: Small nucleolar RNA snoR26
Source: Rfam by way of RNAcentral